CCCUUAGAUGUUCGGGGCCGCACGCGCGCUACACUGAAGGAAUCAGCACGUCUUUCUCCUUGUCCGAAAGGACUGGGUAACCCGCUGAACCUCCUUCGUGCUAGGGAUUGGGGCUUGUAAUUCUUCCCCAUGAACGAGGAAUUCCCAGUAAGCGCGAGUCAUAAGCUCGCGUUGAUUACGUCCCUGCCCUUUGUACACACUGCCCGUCGCUACUACCGAUUGGAUGGUUUAGUGAGAUCCUCGGAUUGGUCCCGGAGCGGCCUCUGGUCGUGCCGGAGUGCCGAAAAGAAUGUCGAACUUGAUCAUCUAGAGGAAGUAAAAGUCGUAACA
RNAcentral lists this ribosomal RNA (330 nucleotides) under uncultured eukaryote. RNAcentral's name for it is "partial 18S ribosomal RNA". It matches the Rfam family "Eukaryotic small subunit ribosomal RNA", at positions 1470 to 1796 of the family's 1831-position model. The record is from RNAcentral.